RNAcentral lists this unclassified non-coding RNA (215 nucleotides) under Hevea brasiliensis (rubber tree). Lineage: Eukaryota; Viridiplantae; Streptophyta; Magnoliopsida; Malpighiales; Euphorbiaceae. The record is from RNAcentral.
UACUUGAAUUGGUUGCAUUUUGACAGUAAAACCUAUCCAAUCGAACUUCCCCUUCAUUCCUUAUAUGAGAGCAAAACUUGCAAUGCAUACAUUCCAUUUUACUUAUAUUUGGCAUAAAACCCUUAGACUUAAGAGUUAUUCUCCAAAACUUCAAUUUUUUAUUAACUCCUUCAAUAGUUUCAUCCAUUAAAACAAUAUUAUCUGCAAAUAACGUG